AUAUCAAAUAUAAACAUAACUCAUAUAUCCCCUGAAUAUGGCAGGGAGUAUCUACCGGGAGCCGCAAAUUCCUGACUAUGAGUGAGAAUAGACGUGUA
This 98-nucleotide non-coding RNA is filed under the name Clostridium sp. RNAcentral describes it as "Guanine sequence". It matches the Rfam family "Purine riboswitch aptamer". From Rfam's summary of the family: Riboswitches are metabolite binding domains within certain messenger RNAs that serve as precision sensors for their corresponding targets. Allosteric rearrangement of mRNA structure is mediated by ligand binding, and this results in modulation of gene expression. Lineage: Bacteria; Bacillati; Bacillota; Clostridia; Eubacteriales; Clostridiaceae. The record is from RNAcentral. RNAcentral also lists the same sequence under 1 other name.